RNAcentral lists this microRNA precursor (103 nucleotides) under Marmota monax (woodchuck). The record is from RNAcentral. Lineage: Eukaryota; Metazoa; Chordata; Mammalia; Rodentia; Sciuridae.
GGUGGGAUAGCUGGGUCAAAAGCUGAUUCCAUUCCAAGUUUUCUAAGGAAUCUCCAUACUGCUUUCCAGAUUGGCUGUACCAAUUUGCAGUCCCACCAGCAAU